Molecule: non-coding RNA, 28 nt
Filed under: Bombyx mori (domestic silkworm)
Lineage: Eukaryota; Metazoa; Arthropoda; Insecta; Lepidoptera; Bombycidae
Source: RNAcentral
UAGUAUAGUCGAUCAUGCAGCCGAAAUG